RNAcentral lists this long non-coding RNA (970 nucleotides) under Manacus vitellinus (golden-collared manakin). RNAcentral describes it as "lncRNA (ENSMVIG00005011890.1)". The record is from RNAcentral. Lineage: Eukaryota; Metazoa; Chordata; Aves; Passeriformes; Pipridae.
CAGCUCAGCACCAGCCUCUUCAGGGACACGGGCAGCCCCCGCCGCCAGCACCAGCACCUCCAGCCCGCUGGCGAGAGCAGCGACCACGACUACGCCCUGCCCAGCCCCCGGCCCCGCGGCCUGGAGGAGGCGGCCGUGGGGACUGAGGCGGAGGAGGAGUGGGCGGCCCCCGGCGGGAUCUGCCUGCACGUGGACCGGGAUCAGUUAUACAUUACUAUUAAAACCUCUCUGACAGUUUCUCUUUUAGGUGCUUGCCCUGCCAGGCUCCGUUGUGUAGGGGUUAAAGAACAGUCGUUUUCCACCUCGCAACCUGUGGAUUCAGCUGUGUUGGGGCAGAAGAGACGGGACCAGCUGCUGGCCACAUUUCCUGCUUUAUUUUAAAAGAGCUUUGCAGCAGGAAAAAACAAAUCAGUGCUUCUGCAAUCUGUAGAUGCCUGGAGAGAUGAUACCAGAGGAAGUGCAAGAAACUCUGUUCUAAAGCUUGGCAUCUCUUUGGACUUCCAGAUUAUCAGAUUUCUCAUUCCAUUUGUCAAAACUAUUAUCAGUUUUCCCUGUGAAACAGAGGAAUCUUUUGCAAAACACAAAGGCCUUUUGUACAUUUACUGAUUUUUAAAAUUCCGUGUUUUCUAGAGCUUUUAAAGAGGUUUUCUGCUGAAAUCAGCAAUGUUCUGGUUAUUUUUACUAUUUACUAUUAGACUGUAAAAUGUCUGAGGGAUAUGUUAGGUAUGGGAGCUGUUCAAAUGGACUCAGUUUAAAGAACACCCUGUACCAAAACUGCAUAUUGCCAGCUGCUGAUUCUACAGUGUUAUGCCUGGUUGAAGUGGGAUAUGUAGAUGUGGGGAAGUAAUUUCUGUGGCGAAAUGAUUCUGUGCUCAUUAGCAGGAGGAUGCCAAGAGCAGGACUAGGGCGUGUACCAGGAAGAUGGGCACAUCAUUUGCAGAGGGCUGUGGAAUAGAUUGUAAAGUUGAUA